Molecule: long non-coding RNA, 1018 nt
Filed under: Pan troglodytes (chimpanzee)
Lineage: Eukaryota; Metazoa; Chordata; Mammalia; Primates; Hominidae
Description: long non-coding RNA NONPTRT005666
Source: RNAcentral
AGGCACCGUGGCGCCUCCUCGCGUUGGUCUUGCUGGUUCUCGGCCCCCGAAGCGGAGCGACGGAGACACAGCUGUGGAAGCAUCUGGAUCCGCUGCCCAGGUCCCCGAGCUUCCCGGAACCCGAGGCCGCAGGACACUGAAGGCUGCCAUUCCCGAGUAGGUCACGCUGGACGCCACCCUAAGCUGGGCCCAGAGGCUCCCGUCCAGGAGGGCUGCAGUCGGCGCAGACACCGCGCGUGUGGGGACGGGAGACCCAUCCUCCUCGGCCGUUCCGAGAGUAGGCGCGGCCGGUCAGAUUCGAUGCAGAGCCGAAUGCGGGAGAAAGGGCAAAACGUCCCUCAAACCAGACAAAGCCUUGUGAGCUUCAGGUUCUCAAAUACCCCACUCACCCAGACCCCACAUCUCCAAUCACCCCCUCGCACCCAAAUCCCAUUCGGAGCCACCGAACUGCACGUGGGACUAGUUCUUGGGAAUGGAUCAAGCCAGUCUCUUCAUCUAACGGAGACAGCCCUGGGUGGCUCUGUCACACAGCCACUGUCUUGUGCACAAGUUCUGAACUUGGCCUCAAAGAAGCCCCAGAGUAGAAAGAAGACAAAAGAAGCCCCAGUUCUUCGAUUCUGGGCUAAAGUGAGAUUUUCUUGAAUGGCAGCCAGUGUUUUGCCUCUUAGGUAAGUGAGUGCAGUAAAGACCGGUAAGGCCCACGCAGAAGAAACACUGAGGAAAGAAGACACUUCCAAAGUAACAAAUGGGAGGAAGCAGCCAACGCCCGAGGACAACAUGGCAAGAAGGAGCCUUUGGAUUCCGGACUGGGAUGGAAAGAGAGUUGAUUGAAUCCCGGAAUUUGGAAACCCCAGAUACGGAGGGCGGACGGUACAACCGGAGCUGUCAGGUGGAUUUCCAAGGCUUUGCAUUGGCUGUACCUGAAACUUAUGGUGGCCUAGACUCCCCAGUAUCCACUCUUCCUUAUCUUGAGUCUCACUCUUUUGCCCAAAUUAGAGUGCAAUGACACGAUUUCGAC